RNAcentral lists this non-coding RNA (204 nucleotides) under Secundilactobacillus silagei. Its description in RNAcentral is "Lactobacillus silagei T-box sequence". It matches the Rfam family "T-box leader". Rfam says of the family: Uncharged tRNA acts as the effector for transcription antitermination of genes in the T-box leader family. T-boxes are found upstream of many aminoacyl-tRNA synthetase genes and some amino acid biosynthetic genes usually in Gram-positive bacteria. The record is from RNAcentral. Lineage: Bacteria; Bacillati; Bacillota; Bacilli; Lactobacillales; Lactobacillaceae.
UUAAAGACUGAUGAGGACUAGUAGGUGUGCUUCGCCGUUCAGAAAGCGGAUGGUGGUUGUGAAUCCGUCGGCUGUGCACUGAACUCGUCUCUGAGUUUUUCAACUGAAUUAGAGUAAGUUGAGACGUGAUUUUCGCGUUACGAAAUAAUGAGCGCCCGCGUAUGCGGGAAUGUUAGGUGGUACCGCGGAAAUUCCGUCCUACAA